Long non-coding RNA from Ipomoea triloba (trilobed morning glory), 534 nucleotides. RefSeq lists it as uncharacterized. The transcript has 2 exons. The record is from RefSeq and is a predicted model, not a curated record. Lineage: Eukaryota; Viridiplantae; Streptophyta; Magnoliopsida; Solanales; Convolvulaceae.
CCCCCCGAUUACCCCGUCGCCUCCUUCGACAUUCCUGCCGGAAACCCUCGCCCCAAACCAGAAAUGGAAACCAAGGCAAUUGCUUCACCCAAAUACCAAAUCAAAGCUACGGAUGCUACAACUUUGAGCACAAUUCAUGCAAUUUCUUUCAUUUCCACAUGUUCAAGCAACUAAGAACAGGAAUCGAAGCCCUCUACAACAAACAGUUCGAGCCAUAUUUUGGGUCUUCAGUGGAAGCUUAUAGAAGAUCCUACUCUAUCAGAUAUAUUGACAGAAAAUUUAGCUCAAAAAACGCACAAGGAUUCCAAAACUCCAAUCGGAAAAUAAGCAAUGGAAGAAAGCUAAGUACAUUACUGCACAAUUUCAUAAUUAUUUAGCUAAUUAAUGAAAUCUGUGCCUUUACAAAUUAGUCUGUAAUAUUUAGUUUUUGGGCAUCUACUAAUUUAAAUGUCAUGGAUGUAUAUUUCUUUGCCUGAGAAUCUAUUUGACUGUAUUAAUAAACCUAAAUAUUGAAUGGUAAAAAACUUUUCCAUA